Molecule: long non-coding RNA, 3940 nt
Organism: Sitophilus oryzae (rice weevil)
Lineage: Eukaryota; Metazoa; Arthropoda; Insecta; Coleoptera; Curculionidae
Exons: 2
Source: RefSeq, a predicted model, not a curated record
GUGGUUUAUCUGGUUGAUUGUUUCAUUUAAGGGUUAAAAUAAUCUAAAGUUAUUAUCAGAAAUGGGAUGUGUCCAGAUAUUAAGCCAGUGUGCCCCAAAAUUAGUGAAAAGUGAAGUUUUUGAACGUUAAGACAUUAUUGCGCAACAUGGCGAAAUGUGAUAAAUGUGCCAAUUUCUGACGAUAUCGAUUUUGAACUAUCAGAAGAAUAAUUUCUCCUGUGUAUUAGUGAUCGUUAAAUGUCAAAUAAACAAUAAAACAAUUUGUGAGUGCCUUCAAUAUGAAAACAUUGCAAUGAAGAGAAGACAUUUUUCCGUCGGAGUGUGUAGGAGAUUCAAAUGAAAAUGUUGUCAACAAAUGCCUAGUCAAAUUCUGAAUAUUCUAAAGGUACAGUACAGUCACAGUACAGUGAAAAGAAAUUUUAAUAACUUAUUAUCCAACCGACGACAAAUUGCUGACAUAGCGAAACAAACAAAGAUGGCGAUGAUGUCAUCGUCGUAUUUGCAGCCAACGCCUCACCUAUCCGUAACAGUAGCAGAUGUAUCUAGUGCGCAAGCUUCAUUUUCUUUACGCAACCUGUAGACGAGCAAUCUACGAAACUACGACCAAGACAACAGCAUAUACGCAAUUCACGAAUGGCUGAAAAUCUACGAAGCGUGACGAAGUUCUACGAAAUACAACGUAGUCAAAGACCGAGUCCAAAGUCAACGAUAAGAUGACGAUUAUUAAACAAGCAAGACUUUAAAAACCUAGAGUAAUCAAUAUUGUCACCGAACGCCGGACGUUUUAUGAUGACCUCAUCACCGCUUUUUCCAAGACAGAUACGAGCAACUGUUAUUGCUGAACAAAGAAAACCAACUUGGGCCACGGUCACCGGUGAUUCCCGGUACUGGCCGCUGCAGAAGAUAAACAUAAUCCAUUCGACAGCUGGUCACAUACCAAAUGUGUUACGUCAUGGAGUAGGUUCCAGAUUAUUGGUCUCUCAGCAUUUUCUGGCUGACGGCGCACCGCCAACCGAUGUCGUCGAUCCGGACAAGGCCAUACAGAAGCUGAAGGACGAUUGGAAAAUAGCCCGAGAAAGCGAGCUCAGCACUUUUAUGUCUAGCACAGUCAAACUGAUUUGUUUACCUCUGAAUAAAAAAGUUGAGUAUUAAAAAGUUUUAAUAAUAAGCAUAUUAUUAAUCAAGCUAUUUUUAUUUUUUAUUUGUUUAUGGUUGGAGACCUGGACAUGACCAUGGAAGAUUCUCAGCUGACAGGCAUGGAAUGCAGUUGCAGUUCAUUCCUCAACGCCAGAUAUGCGCUGCGUCAGCAAGAUCGGCGGCGGCGGACAAAUGUGACCGCACAUAAACAACUCCAACCAUGGCCUUCCACAAUAUAAAAAAAAAUUAAGUAUCAGACCAUUUGACUUACAGUCUUACAAACGAUUUAAUUUAGUUCUUACUGGUGAUGUAAGAAUUGGUAAUUUAUUACACUACUACCCGAAUAAGUUACCCGACAAAACUUAUUUGAAUUAACUUACAGUCUUUUGAAGAUUGAAUUUAAUUAUUUGUUCUCAUUUAAUAAGCUGUCAUUUAAAAACUUAAAUCAAUACGAGAAGAAUAAUAAUGCCAUACUUAAUUAGUUUUAUAUUUCAACGAAAAUAGUGGCAGUCAGUUUCUUUCCUAGUUGUUAAUACGCCAAUAUAUUGCCAGAGUUUAUUUCGAGAAUUUAUACAGAUUGUCCAAUAAUACAAUACCAUAAGUUAUGAAGUAUAUUGAAAUCACUAAAAUAAUUUAAAGAUACAAUUGCAAUGGUUUAUUUCGGACAGUUAGAACCGAAUACUAAAAAUAUUCUCACACUAGAACUCCCUUUCUCUUUGUAUUAAAAAAAAGGAAGUAAUAUGUCAAUCAACGACAGAAAACUUUAUUCAAAACAAAAAUCAUUGACAACUUUACGCUUAUUGACAAAAUUAUACAAUUGUUACAGAAAUUACAUAAUUUGAAUCAAAAAUAGCAAGAACUGCAUUGAACUUACAAAUACACUAAGGAAUAUCACCCCUUUUGUCAGAGUUCAAUUCUGGUUUCCUUCGACCUAACUAAGACUUGUUUUCUAAUAUGCCAAAUAAAGGUUAUUAUCAAUAAUUCAAUCAAUUUAAAUAUGAUAUUUAACAUUAAGCAAAAAUGUAAGAUUAACAUUAUCGUUUGACAUAAGUUUUGGAUCUUUUUGACGCUACGCAUGAACUAGAAUUGUUUUGUGUUAAAGACAUUUUAAUUGAUAAACAAAAAAAAAUUAUUUAGCUUUGGGUUCUCCCCUAAGUCCGUUACUCGCAGAAAGCUUUCUGUCUGAAUUUACAGAAACACUUUUCAAAAUUAGAACAUUUUGAUAUUUUAUUGUCUUGUAUAAAAAUGUAGAUCCUCAUAAUUUUAAACAUUCAAUACAACAUAAAUUAGCAGCGUAUAAAUCAAAGGUUCAUUGAACAUUUGCUCUCGCACUAAGUCAAGCUAUUAGAACUAAAGAAGAAGAAACAAUACAAUAGAUUUAAUAUAAACAAUAAAUAACAUAAUAAGAAAUUAAAUAAUAUAAUAGUAAACCGUCUCAAACCAUAUCAAAUUUACUUUUAAAAAGUAAAACAAAAACAAAACCCGAAACACUAUCAGGCAAUUUAUAAGUUAAACUGUUCAGAUUGCAAUAUCAGCUAUAUAGGCCAGACCUGUAGAAAUGUUGAAAGUAGAUUCAAAGUUCAAAGAAAAAUAGAACAUCUUUUAUAUAAAAAAAUGUCUAAGAUUUCGUCUAUAAGAUGUAUACAAAAUGAUGAUGUUGAGCACACAAAUAUUAUUUUAGAGCACAAAGUGUUAUUUCUUAUUUUGUGGUAAAUCUUUCUUUAUUUUAAGCUAAAGUUUUUCGACAAAAUGCAACUACACAGUCUUGUGUUAAUAUUCGGUGACGCAGAGCUCGGAGAUUAUCAGUUCGAGAUGCAUUUUAUAAGACAAAGCAUUUUUUGUUGUUGUUUAUUUUAGAGACGCGCAAGCUGCACGAGUUAUUAUGUUUUCUUUUAAAGAAUCAUUGAUUUAAAACAAUUAAAAAAAAAUAUUAUAAAACUUGUACCUAAGCCUGUAGCAAAAAAAAUGUGUUUUUAUUUGUGGCUAGAUAAUCGACAGGCAUUCCCUGAGAAAGCGAUGUAAAAUUGCAAUAUUCAUAAUGUAAUAAUAGUAUCCUGUAAACUUUGAUAAUAGUUGGUUCCACAUAUAACAUGGCUAGCAUGUUGUAGAAUGUAAAGAAUGGAUAAAAUGUUUAAUGAUAUAGAACUAGUUUUCCAAAGUAUAAGAGGCAUUAACUGUUAGGAAUAGGCUUGACUGACAAUUUCAUGAUAAAUUAAACUAAAAUCAGAAAAAAGAGAAUGCUUUUUACUCUUAAAAAAAAAUAGUGGCACUCCCGCUAUAAAUUAAAAUAAAUAAUUGAUUGUACUGCUAAUAUUCAAAAUUUAUUUGAGUAGAUACACUAUUCAAGGAGAAUAAUAAUACUAUAAUAAAGUCUUAUAUUAUAGUGAAAAUAGUAGUAGUCUUACGAUAAGAUAAAUUAAAAAAAAAAUAAGAAAAAAAAAGUCUUACCGCAUGAACGAUACCAGCUCCACAAGAAAGGACAACGAAUCACAGUAGCUGCUCACGAUCAGUUGAGGCCAUGGUCAUGAGAAUAAUUUAAAAAAAAGAUUGGUGCGAGGACGCCCCACCUGCAGAAUGGCCGUGUUAACAUAUGAUAAAAAUGACAUCAUGACACCAGGGUGGCCGAGCGAGAUCAGCAUGCGCAACGACACUCUAGAUGGCUCUGGCUUACCACCGACGGGAGAGGCCUGGGCAAGGCCGAGCGAACGCGCCUGCUCUGCGACAGUACGAGCGCACCAGAGUACCAGUCAAUAUUAAAAUAGAACAAGCUGUACUGACGUAAUAUUAAAAGUGGUUUAUCUGG